CCACGGAAAAGGGUGUUAAAUGAAGACUUAGGGCUUCGGGCAUAUCGAAGAAAAACAGGACAUCGUUUGGAUGCUCGUCUAAUGGA
RNAcentral lists this microRNA precursor (86 nucleotides) under Bombyx mori (domestic silkworm). RNAcentral describes it as "mir-2780 microRNA precursor family". It matches the Rfam family "mir-2780 microRNA precursor family". Lineage: Eukaryota; Metazoa; Arthropoda; Insecta; Lepidoptera; Bombycidae. The record is from Rfam by way of RNAcentral.